UAAAGCAAGAAAGGGCGUAUGGGGAAUGCCUAGGCACACUCCGGCGAAGAAGGACGCAGCAAACAGCGAAAUGCGACGGGAAGCGGUAAGCACGCAAAGAUCCGUCGAUAUCCGAAUGGGGGAACCCGCAUGGAGUCAAAUCCAUGGAUCACAUGUUGAAUACAUAGACAUGAUGAGGCGAGACGCAGGGAACUGAAACAUCUAAGUACCUGCAGGAAGAGAAAAUAAGAAUGAUUUUCUGAGUAGCGGCGAGCGAAAGGGAAAGAGCCCAAACCGAUCUGAGGAUCGGGGUAGUAGGAUCAUCGAUAAAUCAAACAGAGGAUCAUAGAGGAAUCACAUGGGAAGGUGAGCGAGAGAGGGUGAGAGCCCCGUACUCGAAAUGAGAGACUGGAGAGAGAUGACACCUGAGUAGGGCGGGACACGAGGAAUCCUGUCUGAAUCGGCCGGGACCAUCCGGCAAGGCUAAAUACGAGAGUAGUGACCGAUAGUGAACCAGUACCGUGAGGGAAAGGUGAAAAGAACCCCGGGAGGGGAGUGAAAGAGAACCUGAAACCAUAUGCCUACAAGAAGUCAGAGCCCGUUAAAGGGUGAUGGCGUGCCUUUUGUAGAAUGAACCGGCGAGUUACUGUAUGGAGCGAGGUUAAGCAGGAUAUGCGGAGCCGAAGCGAAAGCGAGUCUUAAGAGGGCGAAAGUUGCAUGCAGUAGACCCGAAACCGGGUGAUCUAUCCAUGAGCAGGUUGAAGUUGGGGUAAAACCCGAUGGAGGACCGAACCGACCCCCGUUGAAACGUUGGCGGAUGAGUUGUGGCUAGGGGUGAAAUUCCAAUCGAACCCGGAGAUAGCUGGUUCUCCCCGAAAUAGCUUUAGGGCUAGCGUCGAGGUAGAGAGUUGCGUGAAGGUAGAGCACUGAAUAUGUGAUGGCCCCAUCUCGGGGUACUGAGCAUAAUCAAACUGCGAAUGUCACGGAAACAUACUCGGCAGUCAGACAGCGGGUGAUAAGGUCCGUUGUCAAGAGGGAAACAGCCCAGACCAUCAGCUAAGGUCCCAAAAUGUAUGCUAAGUGGAAAAGGAUGUGGAGAUGUACAGACAACUAGGAGGUUGGCUCAGAAGCAGCCAUCCUUUAAAGAGUGCGUAACAGCUCACUAGUCGAAUGACUCUGCGCCGAUAAUUUACCGGGGCUAAGCAUACUACCGAAGCUAUGGAUCCCAAGGGAUGGUAGGGGAGCGUUCCAUGAACGGAGAAGUACGACCGAAAGGACGUGUGGAGAUCAUGGAAGAGAGAAUGCCGGUGUGAGUAGCGGAACGUGGGUGAGAAUCCCACGCACCGAAAACCCAAGGUUUCCAGAGGAAGGUUCGUCCGCUCUGGGUAAGUCGGGACCUAAGGCGAGGCCGAGAGGCGUAGUCGAUGGACAACAGGUAGAGAUUCCUGUACUCAUAUAUAUGUGAAGGAAUGACGGAGAGAGGAAGCUGCAGCCAGCGGCUGGAAGAGCUGGUGCAAGCGAGAUAUCGGGAUGGCAGGCAAAUCCACCAUCCGAAACGAGAAGGCGUGAAGCGUACGGAAAGCUACGGCGAGUACGGAAGGCAGUGGAGGAACUUCCAAGAAAAGUUUCUAACGUUAAGUAUAUAUGGCCCGUACCGAAAAUGGACACACAUGGGUGAGGAGAGAAUCCUAAGGUGAGCGAGAGAACUAUAGCUAAGGAACUCUGCAAAAUGACUCCGUAACUUAGGGAGAAGGAGUGCUCAUAGAGAUAUGAGCCGCAGUGAAACGGCCCAAGCGACUGUUUACCAAAAACACAGCUCUCUGCUAAGCCGCAAGGCGAAGUAUAGGGGGUGACGCCUGCCCGGUGCUGGAAGGUUAAGGGGAGGGGUUAACGCAAGUGAAGCCCUGAACUGAAGCCCCAGUAAACGGCGGCCGUAACUAUAACGGUCCUAAGGUAGCGAAAUUCCUUGUCAGGUAAGUUCUGACCC
This 1966-nucleotide ribosomal RNA is filed under the name human gut metagenome. Its description in RNAcentral is "bacterial LSU rRNA". It matches the Rfam family "Bacterial large subunit ribosomal RNA", at positions 1 to 1989 of the family's 2925-position model. The record is from RNAcentral.